RNAcentral lists this ribosomal RNA (253 nucleotides) under uncultured bacterium. RNAcentral describes it as "partial 16S ribosomal RNA". It matches the Rfam family "Bacterial small subunit ribosomal RNA", at positions 524 to 776 of the family's 1533-position model. The record is from RNAcentral.
UACGUAGGCAGCAAGCGUUGUUCGGAGUUACUGGGCGUAAAGGGCGCGUAGGUGGCUCUAUAAGUAUGGUGUGAAAUCUCCCGGCUUAACUGGGAGGGUGCGCCGUAGACUGUCGGGCUUGAGUAUGGGAGAGGUGAGUGGAAUUUCCGGUGUAGCGGUGAAAUGCGUAGAUAUCGGAAGGAACACCUGUGGCGAAAGCGGCUCACUGGACCAUUACUGACGCUGAGGCACGAAAGCUAGGGGAGCAAACAGG